UUUCCGUAGGUGAACCUGCGGAAGGAUCAUUCAUAAUAAAGUGUUUUAUGGCACUUUUUAAAAAUCCAUAUCCACCUUGUGUGCAAUGUUAGAUCUCGUCAAUCUUGGCGAGAUUUUUAUACAUCAACUCAUUUUUUAACUAAUUUGUCUGAAAAAUAUUAUGAAUACUUAAUUCAAGAUACAACUUUCAACAACGGAUCUCUUGGCUCUC
This 211-nucleotide unclassified non-coding RNA is filed under the name plant metagenome. Its description in RNAcentral is "partial contains small subunit ribosomal RNA, internal transcribed spacer 1, and 5.8S ribosomal RNA". The record is from RNAcentral.